CUCAGAUCAGAAGGUGAUUGUGGCUUUGGGUAGAUAUUAAUCAGCCACAACACUGCCUGGUCAGAAAGAG
This 70-nucleotide microRNA precursor is filed under the name Cavia porcellus (domestic guinea pig). RNAcentral's name for it is "microRNA 383 (ENSCPOG00000019303.2)". It matches the Rfam family "mir-383 microRNA precursor family". The record is from RNAcentral. Lineage: Eukaryota; Metazoa; Chordata; Mammalia; Rodentia; Caviidae.